Molecule: ribosomal RNA, 1940 nt
Filed under: metagenome
Description: bacterial LSU rRNA
Rfam family: Bacterial large subunit ribosomal RNA
Source: RNAcentral
UUAAGCUAUAAAGAGCACAGGGCGGAUGCCUAGGCACUGGGAGCCGAAGAAGGACGUGAUAAGCUGCGAAAAGCCGCGGGGAGGAGCAAAUAUCCAUUGAGCCGCGGAUGUCCGAAUGGGGAAACCCACUUGAGCAGACCUCAAGUACCCAUGCGCCAAUCCAUAACGCAUGGGAGGGAACCCGGGGAACUGAAACAUCUAAGUACCCGGAGGAAGAGAAAGAAACAUCGAUUUCCCAAGUAGCGGCGAGCGAACGGGAAAGAGCCCAAACCACGGAAUUUAUUCUGUGGGGUUAGGACUGCAUAAUUGAUUUGCGAUUGAUAGGAGAACGGUCUGGGAAGUCCGGCGAAAAAGCGUGAAAGCCGCGUAUCCGAAAUCGAAAGCAACAUGGCAGGAUCCAGAGUACCACGAGACACGUGAAACCUUGUGGGAAUGAGCGGAGACCACUCCGUAAGGCUAAAUACUACCCAGUGACCGAUAGCGCAUAGUACUGUGAAGGAAAGGUGAAAAGGACCCCGGGAGGGGAGUGAAAGAGAACCUGAAACCCUGUGUUUACAAGCUGUCGAAGCACUAUAUAUGUGCGACGGCGUACUUUUUGUAGAACGGUCCGGCGAGUUAUGGCAUGUGGUAAGGUUAAGUACUUCAGGUACGGAGCCGAAGCGAAAGCGAGUGUGAAAAGCACGUUCUAAUCGCCUGUCAUAUACCCGAAACCGGGUGAUCUAUCCAUGUCCAGGAUGAAGUUGCCGUAAAAGGCAAUGGAGGUCCGAACACACAUCCGUUGAAAAGGGUGGUGAUGAGGUGUGGAUAGGGGAGAAAUUCCAAUCGAACCCGGAGAUAGCUGGUUCUCCUCGAAAUAGCUUUAGGGCUAGCCCAUGACAAGUCUGCCGCAGGUAGAGCACUGAAUUUCCUAGGGGGCGUCAAAGCCUACCGAAGAAUAUCAAACUCCGAAUGGCGGCCAGAUGGUGUCAUGGAGUCAGACUGCACGAGAUAAGUUGGGUGGUCAAAAGGGAAAGAGCCCAGACCCACAGCUAAGGUCCCAAAGUGCGUGUUAAGUGGAAAAGGAUGUGGGAUUUCGAAGACAACUAGGAUGUUGGCUCAGAAGCAGCCACACAUUAAAAGAGUGCGUAAUAGCUCACUAGUCGAGAGGUCCUGCGCCGAAAAUGUCCGGGGCUGAAACACGACACCGAAGCUUGGGAAUCCUACGGGAUUGGUAGAGGAGCAUUGAAGACGGGACGAAGCGUAACCGUAAGGAUACGUGGACUGUCUUGAAGAGAGAAUGCCGGAAUGAGUAGCGAGAAUGAAGUGAGAAUCUUCAUGGCCGAAUAUCUAAGGUUUCCAGGGUAAAGCUGAUCUGCCCUGGGUAAGUCGGGACCUAAGGCGAGGUCGAAAGACGUAGCCGAUGGACAACAGGUUGAAAUUCCUGUACUGCAUUAAAUCAGAACUGUGGGGACACAGAAGGAAGGCAUGAGCCGGAAAAGGAAAAUCCGGUGCAAGCAUGGGAGGGGUAUGACAGGCAAAUCCGUCAUGCAACCCGAGAAUGUGACGCGGAGCGAACAAAAGUAGCGAAGCAUGCUUACCGGCUGUCGAGAAAAGCCGCUAUUGCGUUUAAUGCACCCGUACCGUAAACCGACACAGGUGGAUGAGGAGAGAAUCCUAAGGCCGGCGGGAGAAGCAUUGUUAAGGAACUCGGCAAAAUGACCCCGUAACUUCGGGAGAAGGGGUGCUCUUAGAAAUAAGAGCCGCAGAGAAUUGGCCCAAGCAACUGUUUAGCAAAAACACAGGUCUAUGCAAAACCGAAAGGUGAGGUAUAUGGGCUGACGCCUGCCCGGUGCUGGAAGGUUAAGAGGAGAGGUCAGAGCAAUCGAAGCCUUGAAUUUAAGCCCCAGUAAACGGCGGCCGUAACUAUAACGGUCCUAAGGUAGCGAAAUUCCUUGUCGGGU